Molecule: ribosomal RNA, 607 nt
Filed under: uncultured bacterium
Lineage: Bacteria
Description: bacterial SSU rRNA
Rfam family: Bacterial small subunit ribosomal RNA
Source: RNAcentral
GCUAGUUGGUGGGGUAAAGGCUUACCAAGGCAAUGAUGCGUAGCCGAACUGAGAGGUUGAUCGGCCACAUUGGGACUGAGACACGGCCCAAACUCCUACGGGAGGCAGCAGUAGGGAAUCUUCCACAAUGGGCGAAAGCCUGAUGGAGCAACGCCGCGUGGGUGAAGAAGGUCUUCGGAUCGUAAAACCCUGUUGUUAGAGAAGAAAGUGCGUGAGAGUAACUGUUCACGUUUCGACGGUAUCUAACCAGAAAGCCACGGCUAACUACGUGCCAGCAGCCGCGGUAAUACGUAGGUGGCAAGCGUUAUCCGGAUUUAUUGGGCGUAAAGGGAACGCAGGCGGUCUUUUAAGUCUGAUGUGAAAGCCUUCGGCUUAACCGGAGUAGUGCAUUGGAAACUGGGAGACUUGAGUGCAGAAGAGGAGAGUGGAACUCCAUGUGUAGCGGUGAAAUGCGUAGAUAUAUGGAAGAACACCAGUGGCGAAAGCGGCUCUCUGGUCUGUAACUGACGCUGAGGUUCGAAAGCGUGGGUAGCAAACAGGAUUAGAUACCCUGGUAGUCCACGCCGUAAACGAUGAAUGCUAAGUGUUGGAGGGUUUCCGCCCUUCA